AGAGUUUGAUCAUGGCUCAGGAUGAACGCUAGCGGCAGGCUUAAUACAUGCAAGUCGAGGGGCAGCAGGGUGUAGCAAUACAUCGCUGGCGACCGGCAAACGGGUGCGGAACACGUACGCAACCUUCCUUCAAGUGGAGAAUAGCCCAGGGAAACUUGGAUUAAUACUUCGUAACAUUAUGAAAUGGCAUCAUUUUAUAAUUAUAGUUCCGACGCUUGAAGAUGGGCGUGCGCCUGAUUAGGUAGUUGGCGGGGUAACGGCCCACCAAGCCUACGAUCAGUAACUGGUGUGAGAGCACGACCAGUCACACGGGCACUGAGACACGGGCCCGACUCCUACGGGAGGCGGCAGUAAGGAAUAUUGGUCAAUGGACGCAAGUCUGAACCAGCCAUGCCGCGUGGAGGAUGAAGGUCCUCUGGAUUGUAAACUUCUUUUAUCUGGGAAGAAACCCAUGUUUUCUAAUAUGGUUGACGGUACCAGAUGAAUAAGCACCGGCUAACUCCGUGCCAGCAGCCGCGGUAAUACGGAGGGUGCAAGCGUUAUCCGGAUUCACUGGGUUUAAAGGGUGCGUAGGCGGGUUGGUAAGUCCGUGGUGAAAUCUCCGAGCUUAACUCGGAAACUGCCGUGGAUACUAUCAAUCUUGAAUAUCGUGGAGGUAAGCGGAAUAUGUCAUGUAGCGGUGAAAUGCUUAGAUAUGACAUAGAACACCAAUUGCGUAGGCAGCUUACUACACGAUUAUUGACGCUGAGGCACGAAAGCGUGGGGAGCAAACAGGAUUAGAUACCCUAGUAGUCC
Molecule: ribosomal RNA, 795 nt
Filed under: uncultured bacterium
Lineage: Bacteria
Description: bacterial SSU rRNA
Rfam family: Bacterial small subunit ribosomal RNA
Source: RNAcentral